AGGGCGAAAGCUGAAAAGCCAUAACAGAGUAAGCA
Regulatory RNA element from Pedobacter africanus, 35 nucleotides. It matches the Rfam family "DUF805b RNA". Rfam says of the family: Bacteroidetes, Chlorobi (1 example), Proteobacteria. Lineage (Flavobacteria) The record is from Rfam. Lineage: Bacteria; Pseudomonadati; Bacteroidota; Sphingobacteriia; Sphingobacteriales; Sphingobacteriaceae.